This 4638-nucleotide ribosomal RNA is filed under the name Candidatus Uhrbacteria bacterium CG10_big_fil_rev_8_21_14_0_10_48_11. Its description in RNAcentral is "bacterial LSU rRNA". The stretch from base 1 to 3659 matches the Rfam family "Bacterial large subunit ribosomal RNA". The record is from RNAcentral. Lineage: Bacteria; Candidatus Uhriibacteriota.
GCAAAUAAGAGUAGACGGUGGAUGCCUUGACACUAAAAGACGAUGAAGGACGUGGCUACCGACGAAACGCUUCGGGGAGGUGGUGAGCAACCUUUGAUCCGGAGAUAUCCGAAUGGGGAAACCCAUCUGUCGUAAUGGACAGAUAUUGUGCGCUGAAUACAUAGGCGUAUGAAGGUAACCCGGGGAACUGAAACAUCUUAGUACCCGGUGGAAAAGAAAAUAAUUUCGAACUUUUUUUAGCUUUCAGCUUGCGGUCAGCAGCCGUGUGACGUUCAGGUUUUCCCUGAUCCGACGACUGGCUGGUUGCCGCUUGCUGAUAGCUACGAAUUGUUCGUACAUUCUCUUAGUAGCGGCGAGCGAACAGGGAACAGCCCAAACCUUAGCAGGUUGUGCAAGAGUAACCGUCCCGCAAGGGAUGGAAAUUCAGGCGUAAAGGCUACAGGGCCAAUGCCAGUUAAGGGGUAGUAAAAUAGUAACGUCAGUGCUCCUGUGUAGCACUGGGUAGCGGAAUCAGCAUUGCUGUAUAACUUUUAGAAGAAGGCUCCUGGAAAGGGCCACCGAAGAAGGUGAUAGUCCUGUAUUCAAAAAAAGUUAUAACGCUACGGUUACCUUUUUGAGUACCACGAGACUCGAGAAAUCUUGUGGGAAGCUGGGUCGACUACGAUCCAAGGCUAAAUACUUUUAGUGAUCGAUAGUGAACAAGUACCGUGAGGGAAAGGUGAAAAGCACCCCGAUGAGGGGAAUGAAAUAGUAUCUGAAACCGUCUACUUACAGGGAGUCGAAGCUCCGGCUUUACGUCGGGGUGACGGCUUGCCUAUUGAAGAAUGAGCCAACGAGUUUGUUUCUAUCGCUCGUCUAAGCCCAUGUAGGGCGGAGGCAUAGUGAAAGCGAGCGUUAAUAGCGCGACCUUCAUACUUCAGUUAUGUGGUCGUCCCAACGUAAGUUGGGAUUGCCGCUGACUGCAGUAUGAACCAGCGGUAGGAACAAGACCCGAAGCCGGGUGAUCUAGCCAUGGCCAGGAUGAACGUUGCCGAAAGGCACCGGGAGGUCCGAACCCACGCGCCGUACAACACGCGGGGAUGAGCUGUGGUUAGCGGUGAAAUUCCAAUCGAACUCGGCGAUAGCUGGUUCUCCUCGAAAUAGCUUUUGGGCUAGCGCCACAGUGGCACUCAGGGGUAGAGCACUGAAUGAGAGGCGGUGGAGCAAUCCUACGACUUUCAACCAAACUCCGAAUACUGAGAUCGUUAUACUGUGGUAGUCAGACUAUGGGGGCUAAGCUCCAUCAGUCAAAAGGGAAACAGCCCAGACCGGCAAAUAAGGUCCCUAAAUCUCUUCGUACCUGCGGGUACGGAGCCUGGCGUUCCGGCAUAUGCCGGAACACGGGAGAUUAAGUGUAAAAGGAGGUGAGACGAUUGAAACAACCAGGAGGUUUGCUUAGAAGCAGCCAUCCUUUAAAGAAAGCGUAACAGCUCACUGGUCAAAUCGUCUUGCGCCGAAAAUAUACCGGGGCUUAAAUCUAGUACCGAAUUUCCGGAUCUCUCCGAUUCGUCGGAGGGGUGGUAGAGGAGCGUUCUGAACUGCGUUGAAGGGAGACCCGUGAGGGAUCCUGGAGUGUUCAGAAGUGAGAAUGUUGGCAUAAGUAGCAUAAAGGGAGGUGAGAACCCUCCCCACCGUAAGCCUAAGGGUUCCUGGGCAACGACAAUCGACCCAGGGUUAGUCGGUCCUAAGGCGAGGCCGAAAGGCGUAGUCGAUGGAUGAGCAGGUUAAUAUUCCUGCACUUGCUUCCGUUUGAGCGUUGUGCGUUUUCUCAAAGUUUCCACGUUUUUUGGCUAUAUACGUGCCGCAAGGCGCAGACAAAGCCGCAAGGUAGAGUCAAUGGAGGUGGAGAGAGAACCCAGAAAAGCAACGUAUCGUUUUGCUGUAAUGGCGAAACGGCGGAGGUAAACCGUACUGCAAACCGACACAGGUAGGCGAGGCGAGUAGCCUCAGGUGUACGAGAGAACCCUCGUUCAGGAACUCGGCAAAAUAGCGACCGUAACUUCGGAAUAAGGUCCGCCCCGACGCAAGUCGGGGUCGCAGCUAAAGAUUUCAAGCGACUGUUUACCAAAAACACAGGUCCCUGCGAAAGCGAAAGCUUAUGUAUAGGGGCUGAUGCCUGGCCAGUGUCAGAACGUUAAGGGGAUUGGUCAUGGCCUUCGGGCCGGCAGCCUUGAAUCGAAGCGCUGACGAACGCCGGCGAUAACUAUAAUCGUCCUAAGGUGGAAUGCUGCCUUAGUGAGGUGUGAGCCCUCCUCUGAACUUCGUAUGCCGCGAAGACGUAAGAGAAAAACUAGCUAUAUGCUGGAACAUCUGUUGUAUCCAAAUUGACUAUGGUCAUAUUAUUCCAUAGAUACUAUGCCAAGUAACACAAAAUUUGGUGCAGACAAUCAGCAGGAAAGACUAGAGCCGUAUUGGGUAGUUGGUUUUGUUGAUGGUGGGGGUUGUUUCUCUAUAAGUUGCAACCGUAACCGUACAACAAAACUUGGUUACCAAAUUUUUCCGGAGUUUGUGAUUACGCAAGGCAAGAAAAGCCUUGGUAUACUUAAGCGGAUACAGCAAUUCUUCGACCGUGGUCAUAGUUAUGUUAAUUGACGUUACGAUAACCAUCAGGAACCAAUUUACCGGUAUUGCGUACGAUCAAUUGACGAUUUAGCGAACCACAUUAUUCCUUUCUUUCGGCGACUGCCACUCGAAACUGCCAAGCAAAAAGAUUUUAUAUUUUUCUGUCAGGCAGUCGGUAUGAUGCAGCGAGCUGAACAUUUAGAGAGGCGAGGAUUGCAAAAAAUAGUGCAACUGAAGUCACAAAUGAACAGAAAAAAAAUACGGCUAGAGAAUCCUCAGAGACUACACGCUAGACCGCGCUCUUUGUCAAAGAGAGAGCCGUGAAGAUAUAGUCCGAUCUCUGUGGCGACACAGAGAGACGAACAGAAAUGAUUCGUCCGUGCGGUAACUGGUUUUUCCAGUUUCACGCUACGUAACAAUGAAGAGCGAAAUUCCUUGUCGGGUAAGUUCCGACCUGCACGAAUGGCAUAACGACUUGAAAACUGUCUUAACGAGGGACUCGGCGAAAUUGCAAGAGGGGUAAAGAUGCCCUUGACCCGUGGCCGGACGAAAAGACCCCGUGAAGCUUUACUAUAGCUUGCUAUUGAGUUGGGAAUACGCCUGUUCAGUAUAGGUGGGAGCUUUCGGGCAACAGUGAGAUACCACCCUUGCGUAUUUACAACCCUAACCCAGCACCGUGAAACCGGUGCAGGGGACAGUAGCUGGUGGGUAGUUUAACUGGGGCGGUUGCCUCCUAAAUGGUAACGGAGGCGUUUACAAAGGUUGGCUAGUCCCGGAUGGAAACCGGGACGAUAGGGUAAAGCCACAAGCCAGCUUUACUGCAACUCCAACAAGAGGAGCAGUUGCGAAAGCAGAACUUAGUGAUCCGACGAUCCAAUGUAGGAUGGUCGAANNNNNNNNNNNNNNNNNNNNNNNNNNNNNNNNUCGGCUCGUCGCAUCCUGGGGGUGGAGAAGCUCCCAAGGGUUUGGCUGUUCGCCAAUUAAAGCGGCACGCGAGCUGGGUUCAGAACGUCGUGAGACAGUAAGACCUUGCUGUCUAUAAAUUCGGCUAUAUGCUGGAAACCCUGACCGAAUCUCAAACAGGAGUAGAGGUUCGAAGAAUCUCACACUACGUGGUAUACUAUUCUAUAUAACGUGACAAUGUGAUGAGUGCAGGCAAUCAGCAGGGAAGGUUACCCAAUCCGUGGUAUAUUUCAGGUUUCGUUGAUGGUGACGGAAGUUUCCAUGUAGCAAUCUAUAGAGAUGAGCGCAUGAAAACGGACUGGAAAAUUAUUCCAGAAUUUCACGUUUCGCAACGAAAAUCGAGUCAGCAUGUUCUUCAUGAACUGACAGCGUUUUUCGGUUGUGGCUAUGUGAAAGAGAAUCACCAUGCACGAGAGAACGACGUGACGUUUGUCUACGUUGUUCGCAAUCGUGACGAUCUCACCACUAAGAUUCUUCCAUUUUUUCAGCGGUAUCCAUUACGGACCGAGAAACGAAUGGAUUACGAACGAUUUUCUCAGAUUGUAGAGCUCAUGAAUAUGGGCGAGCAUCGAGAUAGUCGUGGAGUAAAGAGAAUCAUAAAAAUUGCCUAUGCGAUGAACGGCCAAGGCCGGUAUCGUCGGCAAAGAAUUGUGUAAAACCCUCAGAGACUAUAUGCCGAAUCUAGUCCUUUUCAGAAAGGGCCGGAAAGAUAUAGUCCGAACUGCAUGGCGACAUGCAGAUCUCGGCGGAAACGUCCGAGGCCUUGCGCGGAAACGUGCGAGAGUAACAAAGUUGUCGGUCUCCUAUCCGCCACGGGCGCGGAAACUUGCGGAGUCUCUUCCUUAGUACGAGAGGACCGGGAAGAACAAACCUCUGGUGUGCCAGUUGUCCUGCCAAGGGCAUCGCUGGGUAGCCAAGUUUGGUUAGGAUAAACGCUGAAAGCAUCUAAGCGUGAAGCCGUCUCCAAGAUUAGGUUUCAUUUAAGACCCCCAAGAGAUUAUUGGGUUGAUAGGCACUACGUGUACGUUCCGCAAGGGAUUCAGCGGAGGUGUACUAAUCGGUCAAUGCCUCGAU